AAUGAACGUUGGCGGCGUGGAUUAGGCAUGCAAGUCGUGCGAUAACCCCGCAAGGGGGGAAAGCGGCGAAAGGGAGAGUAAAGCGUGGGUACCUGCCCCUUGGUCCGGAAUAGCGGCGGGAAACUGCAGGUAAUGCCGGAUAAUAUCCUCGGACCAAAGGUGUGAUUCCGCCGAGGGAGGGGCCCGCGUUCUAUUAGCUAGUUGGUAGGGUAAUGGCCUACCAAGGCGACGAUGGGUACCGGGUGUGAGAGCAUGACCCGGCUCACUGGGACUGAGACACUGCCCAGACACCUACGGGUGGCUGCAGUCGAGAAUCUUCGGCAAUGGGCGCAAGCCUGACCGAGCGACGCCGCGUGCGGGAUGAAGGCCUUCGGGUUGUAAACCGCUGUCGUAGAGGAGGAAAUGCCAUGGGGUUCUCUCCAUGGUUUGACCUAUUCUAGGAGGAAGGACGGGCUAAGUUCGUGCCAGCCGCCGCCGUAA
This 480-nucleotide ribosomal RNA is filed under the name uncultured bacterium. RNAcentral's name for it is "partial 16S ribosomal RNA". It matches the Rfam family "Bacterial small subunit ribosomal RNA", at positions 28 to 523 of the family's 1533-position model. The record is from RNAcentral.